GGUUUGUCGCGUUGUUCGUGAAAUCUCACGGCUUAACUGUGAGCGUGCGGGCGAUACGGGCAGACUUGAGUACUGCAGGGGAGACUGGAAUUCCUGGUGUAGCGGUGGAAUGCGCAGAUAUCAGGAGGAACACCGGUGGCGAAGGCGGGUCUCUGGGCAGUAACUGACGCUGAGGAGCGAAAGCGUGGGGAGCGAACAGGAUUAGAUACCCUGGUAGUCCACGCCGUAAACGGUGGGUACUAGGUGUGGGUUUCCUUCCUUGGGAUCCGUGCCGUAGCUAACGCAUUAAGUACCCCGCCUGGGGAGUACGGCCGCAAGGCUAAAACUCAAAGAAAUUGACGGGGGCCCGCACAAGCGGCGGAGCAUGUGGAUUAAUUCGAUGCAACGCGAAGAACCUUACCUGGGUUUGACAUGCACAGGACGCCGGCAGAGAUGUCGGUUCCCUUGUGGCCUGUGUGCAGGUGGUGCAUGGCUGUCGUCAGCUCGUGUCGUGAGAUGUUGGGUUAAGUCCCGCAACGAGCGCAACCCUUGUCUCAUGUUGCCAGCGGGUAAUGCCGGGGACUCGUGAGAGACUGCCGGGGUCAACUCGGAGGAAGGUGGGGAUGACGUCAAGUCAUCAUGCCCCUUAUGUCCAGGGCUUCACACAUGCUACAAUGGCCGGUACAAAGGGCUGCGAUGCCGCGAGGUUAAGCGAAUCCUUUUAAAGCCGGUCUCAGUUCGGAUCGGGGUCUGCAACUCGACCCCGUGAAG
RNAcentral lists this ribosomal RNA (750 nucleotides) under uncultured bacterium. RNAcentral's name for it is "bacterial SSU rRNA". It matches the Rfam family "Bacterial small subunit ribosomal RNA", at positions 577 to 1325 of the family's 1533-position model. The record is from RNAcentral.